CUAAUACAAGUCUCUCUGUGUAUUCAUUUGAGCCUAACUCGGGCGGGCGGCUGGUGUAAAGCUCACACGUGGCUGUGGGGCUCAGGCGGCUUUUGGCAAAAAGAUUUAUCGUAACACUGUCAUUCUUCAAAGCUACAGUGACAAAGUGUGUUUGGAUGGCUUGGUGGUUAAGAACACUGACUGCUUUUCCCUUGGACUCUGGUUCAGUUCCCAGCACUCACAUGACAUCUAACAACUGUCUAUAACCCCAAGAUCUGACACCUUCACAGAUACAUGCAUGAAGGCAAAACACCAAUGUAAAUAACAUAAAAAUACACUAUUUUUAAAAAAAGAAAACAAGGUAAAAAUGUCUUCUAACAGCCAAAUUCUGAGGGAGGGGGACUGUUUUUUAAGUACUUUUCUAAAAUAAAUGCCAAAAGAGGUCUACAGGCCAAAGGAAAAAUAUCCCACAUGAAAGUGUGGGAACUGAGGGAAAAUGAUCAAUAAUAAAAAGGAUAAAACAUGGACAAAUUCAAGUUUUAUUGAAUAAAAUAAUACUGAUUUAUUGAAGCUUCACUAUAUAUCAUAGAAGGAGUUUAAAUCUGUGGCUCUAAGAGGGUCUGGAAAACCACACUAUCAUUUUAGGAUAGAUCUAACAUGACAAAGACACUACUUGGACAAGGACACAGUGGCGGCUGCACUUCUAUUCUUUCACUUUAAUUAGAUGUAUAUUGACUGGAAUUGAUAGGGCAGGCUGUUGGUUUGAGCUUUUAUCCUUCAGUGUAUACAACUGAGACUAUUAAUUUUUCUCUUGGCUCUAUCGUGAGUUUUAAUACAGCCUACCUUUGUCAUUAUUCAUUUCAAGACAUUUUAUAAUUUUCUGAUUUUUUUUUUUUUUUUGGUUUUUCAAGAUAGGGUUUCUCUGUGUAGCUCUGGAGCCUAUCCUAGCAUUCGCUCUGGAGACCAGGCUGGCCUCAAACUCACAGAGAUCUGCCUGCCUCUGCCUCCUGAGUGCUGGGAUUAAAGGUGUGCGCAACCAACACACGGCAAUUUUCAGAUUUUUAAAUAUAUUAUAUUUAGACUUUUUAUUUGUUCUGCACAGGAUUCUCACAACCUAAAACAGAGGGUGAUUUCACUUCUGCUAAAGAGAUGCAUAUUCAGGGUGUGAAUUUGUUUUCCCUGCCCUUUGCUUCUGAGUUCUUACAAAAUGUCUACUUCACCAGCACAGGACCUGCAUAUUAUCAUUUCAGAGAAGAAUGGACUGUUUUGUGGAUGGUCUAAGAGUAAACUCAUGACAGCAACAGUUUCUCAAGCCUUGGUGCUUGAAGUCCCCAGUAUUGCUAAAUGUCACAGCUGAAUCACCAGUUCAGUCUGUGAGGUUAGGAUUUCACCCAUAGUAAGGCAGUCUCCACAGGGAACCAAAAAAACUCAACUAUUGUAUUUUAUCUGAAAAAUCCAAGGGGAUCAUAACCAAUACAGUAACAACACCCCCAUUGCCAUCACUCCUCAUGACCUCCUCUGUGACUUUGUAAUCCUUCCUCAUCCCCACAGCACAAGAGAUCUAUAUUCCUACUUGAUCAGAGAAUUGAAACACAGACCUUUUCAACUCCAAACUAUACCCAGGGAUGGGGCCAGCAGGCAAAAAGGAGGGCUGCCAUCUUUGCAAGAAUAGUUACCCCUGAUCAUUAGACAGAGGUGUAAUUGUGUAGAAAUAACAUUGGGCAUCUCCAGGUACCUCUUGGUUGUGAAAAGCAAAGCAAGCAUGACUUGAAUAGAGCAGGAAGACAAAGAAAAAAAGACUCCUGAGUAAAUUUCAGUUGGGGUGUGCUGGGCUUUGGAGAGAUCUGGAAUUAUGUGGUAGAGGAAGGCAGGACUAUCUGGUUCAUGCUGGCACUAUCUGCAUGGAUAGGGUAUUGGCUCUACUGAGUUCUGAGUUCCUCCAGGAAGACAGAUCCAUCACAGCUCCAGAGUAGCUGUUGCUUGAAUGCAUGAAGAAGAGGGUUUGAGCAGCAUAAAAGGUCAUCUGUGACAGCCACACUGCAACUGCUGGAUGCUACACACCUAGACACCAGGUUCCAAAGAAAGUCCUAUCACUCUAGCUUCCAAGGGUUCUGUGAGCAACAUCUGCAAAGAGCCUCCUCCCAGAAGAAUACACCUUUCUGGGGUGAGCCACAUCCUACAGCUGCAAGCAUUAAAAAGUUUCAACCAGUUCAACCCACCAAGGGACUCUCUGAUAGACCAUAUUUGCUUAGACUACCUCAGUGGAUUGCCCAAGGCAUACUUGUUCUGCAAUUAUCUUUCUUCCUUUGCCUGACUCUGCUUCCAUCCCUCCCUUCCAUAGGCAGUGGUUCCUUGGGAGUCACCAAAGCUUGCCUGGUCACCAAAGUAACUCUCAUCUGCUCCUGAGGGAUUAGCCUGUGAAGAUCAUUAAAAACCACCAGAGGGGGGAAAAACAACAAACAAGCAAAAAACACCAAAGCCUCUGCAACAAAUCUAACAAUAGAUAUAGUGCUUCACAACAAAUAAAUGCAAAAGCUUAAUGAAAGAAGCAGAAGAAUAAUUUCUGUUUCGUGGAUUGAAAAUACAUUGUGUUUGUAUGUCCACUUCCCUCCGAGUUAAUCUCUAAAUAUAUUGCAGUUAUAAAGCUGAUUGUGACAUUUAUGUAGAAAAUCAAAAGUACAAAAGCAUCCUGUACCUGGAGCAUAAGUUAUAGGAAAACAUAAGCUAUAAAGUCAAGAAACCAAGAGAAUAUAGUGGAAAUGGAGACACACACUGAAGUCAAACAGCACAGAGCUCAGAACACAUGCGUGGACAGCUGAUGCAUGACAAGGUGGUCAUGAAGAGCAGGAGCAGAAGGAAUGAUCAUCUGGACAUGCUUGGAAUCAGCUGUUUCCAUACAGAAAAGGGGGGCAAUUUAAUAGUGAUCUCAUCACACACCCAAAAUACUAUUCUAGGUGGACUACAGAGUGAAGUGUACAGAUUAGAGAGAAAAUGUUCCAGUAGGUAAUCUAGAAUCUGUCCAUAAAUUUGGAACAGGCAGAUGGGGCCUGGGUUGUGUAAGAAAGGGAGUGGAACUGAACCUGAGUCUGGGACCAAGCCAGCACUUAAGUAUUCCUCUGUGGUCCCUGCUUCACUCUCCUGCUUUGAAGUCCCUCAGCGAUGAAUGACAACAUACAAACUAAAAUAUCUCUUUCCUCCCCGAAUUAUUUUUGGUCAUGGAGUUUAUCAUAGCAACAUAAAGCAAACUAGUACAGGCAGUGACAUAUCACAGCUGCACACAUACACAUACACACCCCACUACCACCAGCAACAACAACAACAGACACAUGGAGCCUAAGAAUCAUAAACCCAUUUAUAGCAGAACAGACCAAAGAUGUUAUUCAUAUGAUUGAAUACUCUCUAUGAUGGAGAAUGGCAACUAAUGGCACUUAGAAUUAAAUCAUGUAUCCUAGAUACUUAACUUUAGAUAAAAUGACAGCUGAAGUGCCCACUGUAUGGUUCCAUUUAUAUGCAUUUUGAAAUUCUAUGUAAAGAGAAGAUAGGAGCAGAGAAACUGUGGCCCUGGGGAGUACAAGAUGAGGCCUUGGGAUACUGACAAAUGCUUUACUUCUUGACACAUGUAGAGGAGUAUGAGGAUGUUUGUUCCAUGAUCAUCUAUUGAACUGUGUGUCUAUCAUCUGUGUAUUUACCUUAAAAGUAAUCCUGGACCUAUGGAGCUGAAGAGUUGGCUCAGCAGUUUAGAGCACUGGCUGCUGCAGAGAACCUGGAUUCGGUUCCCAGUACCCACAUGGCAGCUCACAGCCAUCUGAGACUCCAGUUCAGUGCUUUGAAUGCUCUCUCUGUUCUGCCCCCUGUGGGCACCUGCAUGCACACAGUGCACAUGCAUACAGUCGGGCAUGCAAGCAGUCUGUCAUGCAUACAUAUAAAAGUUUAAUACAAUUAUAAAAAUUAAACUAAUCUAUGGGCCCAGUAUAAGGAAAAUGUACUGUUUGCCUCCUGAAUUAAUGUGUGGACUUCGCUUGCUGUGCAUCACAAUGGGAGACUUGAGCCCAGGGAUUCAAUGUAGAUCCCACACACCCUAAGACAAAUAGUCCUUUGGCAUUUCCACAGUUGCUCACAUGCCUCUCUCACAUCAUGGAGAUUUCCUGACUCUCGGAGGUGACAGACCCAAACACAAACUUUUAUUUCUAAGAUAGCAUCCUGUACAGCACCUUGUUUUUACUUUGGCUACUAAACUAAAAUAGUCACUGGCUUCCUCGGUUUUAAGCAAAGAGGUUUUCAGUUCUACGUUUAUGAGUUUCUCAUUUUUUAAGUGGAGCAGCUUGGCCAACACCACAAACCUAAAUAUUUUUGCUAGUACAAGUACCAUCCGCUGCAGACGAGUUCUUUACAGGAGGAAACCUGGCUUCUCCCUGCUUGGGUCUGGCCAAAUAGACAUCCCGCCAGGCUUACCAUGAAAGAUCAGCUUUCCGACAACAGCAUGAGGAAUAUUUCCCAUCCAGGGCUGAAUGACUCCUGACAGGAGGUUGCAGGUUUGGCAAGACACCACAAGGACCAGGCCAAGCCAAACAUGGAGUGGAAAACUCUGUUCAGCACUGUACCAUAGACGGUUCCUUCCCUGGGGCUGGCUCACAUGUGUGACUGUCUCUGGUUAGUAACAAGACACCAGCACAUGGUGUACAGAGGAUGUACCUCAGCCAGCCUCCUGUAACCACACAAGCUGUGCUGCUGAAGUUACCAGCAAGUGCCCUAAACUACUUGACACUGCAUUCCAGAAUCCCACAGUUCAGCCAAGGUCCUCCCAUGACUCCCUCCCGGCUUCAAUUUCUAUUUGCCAGCCUACUGUUGCAGUGUUUCAUGAUGUCACCCAAACUCAGGAGGAAAGUUCUCUGAUGGUUGCUGAGCAAGACACUGAUCUACAGGAAAUGGGGGCUGCAGGAAGGAGAUGUACUCCCAAGGACCUGCCUCCAGUGACCUACUUCCUGAAGGUAUGCCCUGCUUCCUGAAGCUUCCACAACUCCCAAGAAAGAACCACCAUCUGUGAACCAAGCAUAAGCCGUUGGGGACAUCCCAGUCUCAACCUUAGCACAUACUGAGGCAUGAUGGUAACAGGACUUUGGGAACUGGAUUCCCAGGACCACACUUCACCCAUGUGUCUCCACUGGAUUUCUGCUGACAGCUAAACACUAGACAGCAAUACUGUUUUCUUCUCCACCAAAUGGGAUCAGCUCCACACAUUCUCUUUCCUCAAUUUUUUCCCAAGUUAGGAAAGAGAAUAGUCACAAAUUCACUGAGAGAUAUGUGGCAAUAAUCAUAUUACAAUGAAUGAGGAAAGAAGGCAGUGUGGAAACACCGUAUUUGGGGUCUUCCAUUUCAAUGGGAAGAGAAUUUCCCCUGUCACUGUGUGAAAAAUGCACGGGAAACCAACACAACAUCCUUUUCACUUUGCAUCUGAAAUAACUUUCCAGUCACUUGACUGUACCACACAGGUGUGAGCUAUUCAAUCCAAAAUAGGAACCAAGACCGAACAGUUAAUUGGAAAGUUAGGUAAUAUCCUGAGUGUUCCAUGCUUAUGUUGACAGCUGAGCAGUGUGGGGAAGAGUCGGGGAUAUGACUGGCUUCUCACUGGCUUCCCUGCUCUCUCUCUGCUUACCCCCUCUUAUCUUUAGCCAGUGAGGGCAAGAACAGGCAAGGAGAAUGGAUGGAAUGUUAAAAUAAUGAGUGCACAGUCCUAGGGUUAGCUUCAGACUCUCUAGGCCUCUGGCCUGUCAUAAAACAAAAAAUAAAAUAAAAUAAAAAACAACAACAACAAAAACCACCUCCCCCUCCCAUGGAUGUCGGUGGCCUCCUGCGUGUCCAUCUGACCACAGUUUCCUAACAGGCUGUGCUCCUCUUUCACUAGCUGCUUUACCCUGAUUGUUCCUCAGCAUGCAGUGUGGUCUUCUGGUUGUUAGAUCUGCAUGCCCUGCUGUUGGUAGUAUUGAAGUUAAAUCCACCUCUCACUCUGUCAGCUACUAAGCAAGGCAACCUCUAGGGGCAAACUGCUAUAUUAAUAUACCUUCAAAACAUCCUCUCCCCACCCCGCAACAAAAUUUUCUGAUGAGUUGACCAUGCUCAAAAGGCCCUUAUUCUCUACAUAUUCUUGAAGGUGUAUUCUGCCAUCCUGAGCUAAGCAUGCCAAAGGAUGUGUCCUUCAUUUUUCUUUAGUUAGGAUCUUGAGCUGAGUGGGUUCAGAAUGUACUAUUCAGCUGAGCAUGCUCAAGACUGUGACUUCUUGUGUGGUUACAUGUAGAGUGCCUUCCCAAAAACCUCCAUGCUUGUUUUGUUCAAGAAGGGCAUGGCUUUGGAAACAAUUAUCCUACCAUCCUUAGCUGCCACAGUAGUAAACGUCACAAACAUCUAUCAAGAGCAGUUUGUGUGCCAGGCUGUCUGUCUGUUUCCCUCCUUCCUUUGGAAGCAGUCUUGGAGGGUGAAGGUACUGGAAGGAUGGGUCUGGGCAACACAUCCUGCAAGUGACUUGGAGAAUGAGCCUCGGGAUCACUGGGAAAGAAGCCAUUCGUCCUCCCUGCUCAGUGCUCAGCAGUCAUCUCUCACUUGCAUCAUUCACCAAAGGCAAAGCAAACCCACUGUUUUAUUAACUUCUGAUCCUGUUGAGAAAACCAAGUGAUGCAGACCAAGCAGUUACAGAAAAAGGGAAAGACCACAUCUCUACGGGAAAAAAAAAUGCUUCUGUCAUUCAACUGGAUAUUGAUUUAUGCAAUUAUUCACUUGUUUUUUGGGGUGUUUUUUGUUUUUUUUUUGGUUUUUUUUUUUUUUUUUGGUUUUUUGAGACAGGGUUUCUCUGUGA
This is a non-coding RNA of Cricetulus griseus (Chinese hamster), 6826 nucleotides long. Lineage: Eukaryota; Metazoa; Chordata; Mammalia; Rodentia; Cricetidae. The record is from RefSeq and is a predicted model, not a curated record.